RNAcentral lists this ribosomal RNA (780 nucleotides) under uncultured bacterium. RNAcentral describes it as "bacterial SSU rRNA". It matches the Rfam family "Bacterial small subunit ribosomal RNA", at positions 82 to 847 of the family's 1533-position model. The record is from RNAcentral.
UCGGACGAGUAAAGCGGCGGACGGGCGAGUAACGCGUAAUCAACCUGCCCCCGAGACUGGAAUAGCCACUGGAAACGGUGGGUAAUGCCAGAUGGUCCCCCGGAUCGGCAUCGAUCUGGGGGUAAACGGUGGCGAAAGCUGCUGCUCAGGGAGGGGAUUGCGUCCUAUCAGCUAGUUGGUGGGGUAAUGGCUCACCAAGGCGAUGACGGGUAGCUGGUCUGAGAGGACGACCAGCCGCACUGGGACUGAGACACUGCCCAGACUCCUACGGGAGGCUGCAGUCGAGAAUCUUCCGCAAUGGGCGAAAGCCUGACGGAGCGACACCGCGUGCAGGACGAAGGCCCUCGGGUUGUAAACUGCUGUCGAGCUCUAGGAAACCCAUGUCGUUAAUAGCGGCAUGGCUGACUAAAGCAGAAGGAAGUGGCGGCUAACUCUGUGCCAGCAGCCGCGGUAAGACAGAGGCCACGAACGUUGUUCGGAAUCACUGGGCAUAAAGCGCACGUAGGCGGCUAGGUCCGUCCAAUGUGAAAGCCCCCGGCUCAACCGGGGAAUUGCAUCGGAUACAGCCUGGCUUGAGGACGGUUGGGGUGAGUGGAACUCCUGGUGGAGCGGUGAAAUGCGUAGAUAUCAGGAGGAACACCGGUGGCGAAAGCGGCUCACUGGACCGUUACUGACGCUGAGGUGCGAAAGCUAGGGGAGCAAACGGGAUUAGAUACCCCGGUAGUCCUAGCCGUAAACGAUGGGCACUGGGUAGGGGGGAAGCCUAUGCUCUUCCCUGCC